AUGUCGUGGUCUUCUGGUGGUUCGAGUGCUCCCAGCUUCCGUCGAGCCACCGGAAGGAGAGGGGAGGAAUCUAGGUCGCCGGUGCCGUACCGCGAGGCCCCGAUGGCGUACGAGCCAGCGAGGCUCUGCUGGUGCAACCCCCGUCGGAAGGCGCCUAGGUGGAUCUCCUGGAGCCGUCAGAAUCCAGGCAGGAGAUACUACGCCUGUGUUGAUGCGAUGCAUGGUGGUUGUGGAUUCGUGGAAUGGCAUGAUGACCCACUUCCCAAGUUUUGGAGUGAUUUGAUUGGUGAUUUGCGAGAUGAAGUGCGUAGGCUGAGAGGUCAAGGAAGUGGUGCUGUGAUUGAAGAUCCCACUGCAGUUGUGGCUCUCCCUGAAGCUGAAACAGGAGGAAUGGGAAUGGCUAUGGCUCUGCAAGAUCAAUUGAAGCAGAAAAAUUUAGAGAUAGAUGCACUGAAGGGCAAAUAUCAGACUGCUGUCAUGCUGUUUGUUGUAUUUGUGGUGGGUUUAGUUGUAGGGAAGAUGCUACUGUAA
RNAcentral lists this ribosomal RNA (531 nucleotides) under Triticum aestivum (bread wheat). RNAcentral's name for it is "partial small subunit ribosomal RNA". Lineage: Eukaryota; Viridiplantae; Streptophyta; Magnoliopsida; Poales; Poaceae. The record is from RNAcentral.